RNAcentral lists this unclassified non-coding RNA (333 nucleotides) under soil metagenome. Its description in RNAcentral is "partial contains 5.8S ribosomal RNA, internal transcribed spacer 2, and large subunit ribosomal RNA". The stretch from base 1 to 120 matches the Rfam family "5.8S ribosomal RNA", at positions 35 to 154 of the family's 154-position model. The record is from RNAcentral.
GAUGAAGAACGUAGCGAAAUGCGAUAAGUAAUGUGAAUUGCAGAAUUCAGUGAAUCAUCGAAUCUUUGAACGCACAUUGCGCCCGCCAGUAUUCUGGCGGGCAUGCCUGUUCGAGCGUCAUUUCAACCAUCAAGCCCCCGGCUUGUGUUGGGGACCUGCGGCUGCCGCAGGCCCUGAAAUGCAGUGGCGGGCUCGCUGUCACUCCGAGCGUAGUAGUUACAUCUCGCUCUGGGCGUGCUGCGGGUUCCGGCCGUUAAAAGCCUUAUUUACCCAAGGUUGACCUCGGAUCAGGUAGGAAGACCCGCUGAACUUAAGCAUAUCAAUAAGCGGAGG